UUCUCAUCAGAUAUUCACAAAAAACAGGAUCAGUCCUUGCACGCAUAUUUUCUGAUAGUCUCAAUUUUUCAAGUUGAUUCCAAAUUCUGGAGUUUAAAAUACUUUCAGAAAUAAAGUCUUCCUUUUUUCCACUUCGGACAACAGGAAGCGUUUGCCUAAAAUCACCUCCAAACACUACGACUUUUCCACCAAAGAGUAUAUUUGUUUCAGUUAGGUCUUUCAUAAGCAAAUCAAAAGCUUCAAUCAUAU
This 249-nucleotide long non-coding RNA is filed under the name Solanum tuberosum (potato). Its description in RNAcentral is "long non-coding RNA (STUB_LNC005760)". The record is from RNAcentral. Lineage: Eukaryota; Viridiplantae; Streptophyta; Magnoliopsida; Solanales; Solanaceae.